CAGUCGCCGCGGGAAAACGAAGGGUGCAAGCGUUACUCGGAAUUACUGGGCGUAAAGCGUGUGUAGGUGGUUGUUUAAGUCUGUCGUGAAAGCCCUGGGCUCAACCUGGGAAUUGCGAUGGAUACUGGGCGACUAGAGUGCGGUAGAGGAUAGUGGAAUUUCCGGUGUAGCAGUGAAAUGCGUAGAGAUCGGAAGGAACAUCUGUGGCGAAGGCGACUAUCUGGGCCAACACUGACACUGAGACACGAAAGCGUGGGGAGCAAACAGGAUUAGAUACCCCGGUAGUCCCUGUCUCUUAUAC
This 301-nucleotide ribosomal RNA is filed under the name uncultured bacterium. RNAcentral's name for it is "partial 16S ribosomal RNA". It matches the Rfam family "Bacterial small subunit ribosomal RNA", at positions 509 to 807 of the family's 1533-position model. The record is from RNAcentral.